Molecule: unclassified non-coding RNA, 353 nt
Organism: Aotus nancymaae (Ma's night monkey)
Lineage: Eukaryota; Metazoa; Chordata; Mammalia; Primates; Aotidae
Source: Ensembl
CCUGCUGUUUAAACUUUAAGAUGAUUCCUAUCUGGAUUAAAGUCCUCAACCAGCAGGCCGAGGCAAACUCUAAAGAAAAACAAGGUCAUGCUGCAUUUUUUUUUGGUAAGCACAGGAAUCAACAAAGAGAUGUUAUAUAACUUCUAUUUAUAUCCUCCUUGCUCACUAUCUGCAGGCAGACAAGAGUCGCUGAGAAGGGAUUUAAUGAGCUCUCUGGGUUUGCUCACCUUCCUGAGCUGGUAGGAACCAGCUUGUUCUCAAAUGCGUCAGUAAAGAAUCUGGCUGUGGGUGGGCGGCCAGGGUAGGUGGACUGAGUUGUUGCUAUGGUGUUUUUUAAUUCCCUUGUCUCUCAA